GUGGCACCGGCCGCAUUAAGGUGAAUGGCCGGCAGAUGACUGCGCACCGGUUGGCUGGGAACUGGCCAAGGGUGUGCUGCCCAGAGGUUGCCGGGUACCUCCCAUCUGCCGGUCGAAGUCGAUCGAAGGAUCCCGCUCCGAAGCUGACCUUCCGGGUUUAGUCCGCCGGGGGCACGCUGGUGGUUCCUGUCCGGCUUACAGGCGCCUCGGAUCGAAUGGCUUCACUGACCGAGCGAUGGCGAGGAGCUCCUGGCAGUUCACUCGAUAGUCGAGGGCGUCCACGACAAUGUUCACCUCAAUGUCAGGAGCCCAGAGCCAGGAGAUGAACUCGCCGUCGGUCAUGUGCUGAAUCAGGCCGUCCUUGCCUCGGACCUUGACGUUCGAGGGAGGCGGAUUGUCC
This 400-nucleotide unclassified non-coding RNA is filed under the name uncultured fungus. Its description in RNAcentral is "sequence contains ITS1". The record is from RNAcentral. Lineage: Eukaryota; Fungi.